CAAAAAUUAUGUUUCUCAGAGAGAGGAAACUAAAUUGUCUUUGUAUUUGCAUUUCUUUAGAGCUCAGUCACAGUGAUUUAUUGAUGGAAAAUGAGAAGGAGACAGUCUUCAAAAUGGCCAGUCAACCAAAGAAGCCAGUCUGGGAACAUCUGUGUCUUGCCAUUUGAAAACCUCACCUGUUGCUUGCUCCUACAGAGUACCUGGAAACACUGCUGCAGAAGAGGAUUUCCUGACCAUGAGGAACAGGACAGUUAAGAGACACAGCCUAGCAUUGUGGCCAAACACCGCGACCCGUCUUCUGAGAAAGAGACCCAUCUUCUGAGAAGAAAAGAGGAGGACUUCUCAGUGGGGAACUUUGCAAGGCCCAUGCUCCAUAAAGGGCUUCUGAGAGCAGUGUGCAAGCCAGGCAGUGGGCCGGGAGCCAGAGCAGCAGAAGCCAUGGGGCAUGGCCCAAACUUGCAUGAUCCAUGGUGACAAAACAUGUGGAGCUCCUCUUUUGGGAAUGAGAUCCCUAAGGGCCUGGCUGUGCCCCUGCCUGCCCUGUGUGUGUGGAAGGAGGAGUGUAUGAACUCUCCUGGGCUAAGGUACAGCGGAGUUUGGCUGGAGGAUUGCUAGUGCCUCUACACCUGCCCUAGCUCUGCUCCUGCCCUUUUUUUGCAGAGUAACUCUGCAAAACCCUCACUGAUUUGAACAAUUGUUGCCUAAGCCCCUCUGUCCAUGUGUCUGUGCUUCUUUACCAUGUCUAUCAAUUAAGCAAAAGCCCCAGACAUCCUUUUGCUCAUACAAUGCUUUAAUUAUAAAGUAGUUUGCUUCUGAUUGGCAAUUACUGUGCCUGGGAAUGGGCCUCACAAGUGGGUGGGCUUUUGAGACCUGGCUGUCACUCAUCUGCCUUGUCCCCUUCUC
This 903-nucleotide long non-coding RNA is filed under the name Zonotrichia albicollis (white-throated sparrow). RNAcentral's name for it is "lncRNA (ENSZALG00000017005.1)". The record is from RNAcentral. Lineage: Eukaryota; Metazoa; Chordata; Aves; Passeriformes; Passerellidae.